UAGGGAAUCUUCCACAAUGGACGCAAGUCUGAUGGAGCAACGCCGCGUGAGUGGAGAAGGUCUUCGGAUCGUAAAACUCUGUUGUUAGAGAAGAACACGAGUGAGAGUAACUGUUCAUUCGAUGACGGUAUCUAACCAGCAAGUCACGGCUAACUACGUGCUAG
Molecule: ribosomal RNA, 164 nt
Filed under: uncultured bacterium
Lineage: Bacteria
Description: partial 16S rRNA
Rfam family: Bacterial small subunit ribosomal RNA
Source: RNAcentral